GUCGGGAUAGCUCAGUCG
This 18-nucleotide transfer RNA is filed under the name Doronicum columnae. Its description in RNAcentral is "partial tRNA-Phe". The record is from RNAcentral. RNAcentral also lists the same sequence under 4 other names. Lineage: Eukaryota; Viridiplantae; Streptophyta; Magnoliopsida; Asterales; Asteraceae.